This 411-nucleotide ribosomal RNA is filed under the name uncultured organism. Its description in RNAcentral is "bacterial SSU rRNA". It matches the Rfam family "Bacterial small subunit ribosomal RNA", at positions 45 to 433 of the family's 1533-position model. The record is from RNAcentral.
UGGAUUAGGCAUGCAAGUCGAACGGUGUUAGAUUUUAUCGCAAGAUAAAGUUUAAUAUAGUGGCGAAAGGGUGAGUAACACGUGAGUAAUCUACCCUAAGAAUUGGGAUAACCUGUCGAAAGACGGGCUAAUACCGAAUAAGACCACGUCCCCGUCAGGGGAUGAGGUCAAAGAUGGGGACCGUAAGGCCCAUCGUCUUUGGAGGAGCUCGCGGCCUAUCAGCUAGUUGGUGAGGUAAUGGCUCACCAAGGCUAUGACGGGUAGCUGGCCUGAGAGGGUGGUCAGCCACAUCGGGACUGAGACACUGCCCGGACUCCUACGGGAGGCUGCAGUCGAGAAUCUUUCGCAAUGGGGGAAACCCUGACGAAGGGACGCCGCGUGCAGGAUGAAGGCCUUCGGGUUGUAAACUGC